RNAcentral lists this ribosomal RNA (492 nucleotides) under uncultured bacterium. RNAcentral's name for it is "partial 16S ribosomal RNA". It matches the Rfam family "Bacterial small subunit ribosomal RNA", at positions 29 to 507 of the family's 1533-position model. The record is from RNAcentral.
AGUGAACGCCGGCGGUAGGCCUAACACAUGCAAGUCGAACGGCAGCACAGUAAGAGCUUGCUCUUACGGGUGGCGAGUGGCGGACGGGUGAGGAAUACAUCGGAAUCUACUUUUUCGUGGGGGAUAACGUAGGGAAACUUACGCUAAUACCGCAUACGACCUACGGGUGAAAGCAGGGGAUCUUCGGACCUUGCGCGAUUGAAUGAGCCGAUGUCGGAUUAGCUAGUUGGCGGGGUAAAGGCCCACCAAGGCGACGAUCCGUGGCUGGUCUGAGAGGAUGAUCAGCCACACUGGAACUGAGACACGGUCCAGACUCCUACGGGAGGCAGCAGUGGGGAAUAUUGGACAAUGGGCGCAAGCCUGAUCCAGCCAUACCGCGUGGGUGAAGAAGGCCUUCGGGUUGUAAAGCCCUUUUGUUGGGAAAGAAAAGCAGCAGGUUAAUACCCCGCUGUUCUGACGGUACCCAAAGAAUAAGCACCGGCUAACUUCGUG